GGGACACGUGAAACCCUGUGGGAAGCAGGAGGGACCACCCUCCAAGGCUAAAUACUACCUAGUGACCGAUAGCGUAUAGUACCGUGAGGGAAAGGUGAAAAGAACCCCGGGAGGGGAGUGAAAUAGAACCUGAAACCCUGCACUUACAAGCUGUGGAAGCACAUUUCUUGUGUGACCGCGUACUUUUUGUAGAACGGGCCAACGAGUUACGUUAAGUAGCAAGGUUAAGCACUUAAGGUGCGGAGCCGUAGCGAAAGCGAGUUUUAACUGAGCGUUCAGUUACUUGACGUAGACCCGAAACCGGGCGACCUACCCAUGAGCAGGAUGAAGCGAAAGUAAAAUUUCGUGGAGGUCCGAACCCACGAGCGUUGAAAAGCUCGGGGAUGACUUGUGGGUAGCGGUGAAAUUCCAAUCGAGCCCGGAGAUAGCUGGUUCUCCCCGAAAUAGCUUUAGGGCUAGCCUCAAGGUGAGAGAUACGGAGGUAGAGCACUGAAUGUCCUAGGGGGUAUUGCACCUACCGAAGACUAUCAAACUCCGAAUGCCGUCAUCUUAUACUUGGGAGUCAGACUGUGGGUGAUAAGAUUCAUAGUCGAAAGGGCAACAGCCCAGAUCGUCAGCUAAGGUCCCUAAAUGUAAGUUAAGUGGUAAAGGAUGUGGGAUUGCACAGACAACCAGGAUGUUGGCUUAGAAGCAGCCACUCAUUCAAAGAGUGCGUAAUAGCUCACUGGUCGAGUGAUCCUGCGCCGAAGAUUUCCGGGGCUAAAACUUACUACCGAAGCUACGGCAUCAGUAAUGAUGGGUAGGGGAGCUUCCCAUACGGGUUGAAGCAUGACCGUAAGGACAUGUGGACAGUAUGGGAGUGAGAAUGUUGGCAUGAGUAGCGAGAUGUGGGUGAGAAUCCCACAGGCCGUAAACCCAAGGUUUCCAGGGGAAGGUUCGUCCGCCCUGGGUUAGUCGGGACCUAAGCUGAGGCCGAAAGGCGUAGGUGAUGGACAACAGGUUGAUAUUCCUGUAC
RNAcentral lists this ribosomal RNA (1015 nucleotides) under Clostridioides difficile. RNAcentral describes it as "partial 23S ribosomal RNA". It matches the Rfam family "Bacterial large subunit ribosomal RNA", at positions 419 to 1444 of the family's 2925-position model. The record is from RNAcentral. Lineage: Bacteria; Bacillati; Bacillota; Clostridia; Peptostreptococcales; Peptostreptococcaceae.